This 1473-nucleotide long non-coding RNA is filed under the name Sorghum bicolor (sorghum). RNAcentral describes it as "long non-coding RNA (SBIC_LNC005922)". The record is from RNAcentral. Lineage: Eukaryota; Viridiplantae; Streptophyta; Magnoliopsida; Poales; Poaceae.
UCAUCCUUCUAUAUUUAGCACUCUAACGCUCCACUCUAGGAUGAUAUUGGAGGGCUGAAACAACACUCACUAGAAAGCUCGGGUGAUCUCCUCAUAGGAGAUUUCAGGUGCUUGCCACGUAGACUUGUUAUUGUAGGCAACCAUUAAUUGGAGAUCUAUCAUCUAUAUAUGCUCUCGUAGGGAGUUUUAUUUGGUGCACCACCAGAGAGCUUUGGCGGGUGAUAUCUCCACCUACGUGUCUCCAACACCACAAAUAAAUAAACAACCUCCGGUGCACCUCUCUGAUGAUCCACCGAAAGGUAAGGUGAGGGUCUUCACUUCUUCAGUCUCGGACUAGGCAUGACUGGAAAGCUCUGGUGCAUUCAGUGGACAUCGCCAGUGCCAUCUAGAAACUCUGGUGCUAUGUGAGCACUCCGGUACGGUGUUGAUCUCUAAUCGUUGUUUCUUUAUGUGUUUUCGUGUCCAGGCUUCUUCCACUCGAUGUCUGAAGUUUUUUUGGUUGUCUUCUAGUGUGUAUUCAUAGAAGUUCCUUGACUUUUACUUGAGACGUUGAUCACUUGAUCUUUACCGUAGUCUAAAACCUUGUAUCACUUGAGACGUUGAUCACUUGAUCUUUACUUGAGACGUUGACUAGUCCAUCCGAUCCUAGCUAGCCUUGCAUCCAUAGCUCUAAAACCUUGUAUACUAACAAGCAAGAUUAGUUGCGGUGAUGAUGUUGUCAAUCGUCACCAAAAUCACUAAUUAAUGGCACUUGGUAGGUGCCAUUUUUCUACACAGACUUCCAGUUCCAGCCAUCGGCCAUCCUCGACAGCUCCACUCUACAUCUCCCAGUUUGUCAGUGCUUUUCUUUUGGGUUGUUUUAUGCCAUUAGUAUGAAAAAUAGUUCUCUAUGAAAAGAAAAACACACCUGCACAAGUAUUUUAUUAGUUUGAACUUGAAAAUAUUUUGAAAAGAUAAAUAUAAUUGUACUCCCUCUAUUUCAAAUUAUUUACAAAAAAAAGUCAAAUCAAUUUAUAAUUUAGAAUGGAGGGAGUAGAUCUUGAUGUUUAUUGGUUGUAUCGACAAUUCGAUAUAUGCUUCACAUAUAAAAACAUACAGUAGCUAUUACCGUCUUAGCUGUACGUGCUGACCAAGUCCAGUGAUUAACGUAAACAACUAUGACCUGGUCAAGCUAUACGUUGCACUUGUAUGCCAUAAACUAAAGCGAACAACUUAAACAGUUUCUGCAGGUUCAUAUAUACGUACAUUUGUCGUCUGCUACCUUGGAAGACAGAUGGAGCAAAUAUUGCUUCUAUAGGCUGCAGCUCUUCUUCUAUAUUGCUGCUCAUGUAUUAUUAGAAAUCUUCUAGGCUACAGCACCUCGAGCAGAUGGUUUGUAGACAAGUUGUAUCUAAAGUUUGUAAAGAAUCUGGUCGCUAAAAUGGAUAAAAGUGGUUUGCUGAAAUGAUGAAAUAUGUGUAACGCAUAAAGGUC